CAAGGUCAAAAAUUUUGUUUCAGUAGACAGCCUGAUGUCCUAUUGUAAAGAUACAAAUUUUUGAGAUACAAUAUGCAGCAAGUAAACUAAAUUUGGUGUAUGGAAAGAUUGAAAGGUGAACACGUCUGUAUGGUAGGGUUCAUUUACCUUAUUUUCAUGGUUCAUUUAAACGGAAGAAAAAAAAAACCACAAAAAAAAGCAACUAAACAUGUUUUGAAAUUUUAUUUUCUAUUAUUUCCAUUUAACAACUAUUACAAAACCUAAUGAACAGGUAACAAACACAUAUAAAAUAUAUAUUUCAGAAAGUACAUAUCAGAAUGUGGUGUAAAAUGUAUAGUGUACCUGUUAUAAUAAAUAUUCUGUAAAGCAGGGGAUAUGGCCCCUUUUGAGACCCUAAAAUAAACAAGAAUGUGUCCAUAGUACACGGAUGCCCCACUCGCACUAUCAUUUUCUAUGUUUAGUGGACCAUGAAAUUAAGGUCAAAACUUUAAUUUGGAAUUAAAAUUAGAAAGAUCAUAUCAUAGAUAACAUGUGUACUAAGUUUCAAGUUGAUGUAACUUAACUUCAUCAAAAACUACCUUGACCAAAAACUUUAACCUGAACUUCGCACUAUCACUUUCUAUGUUCAGUGGACCAUAAUAUUGGGGUCAAAACUAUAAUUUGGCAUUAAAAUUAGAAAGAUCAUAUCAUGGGGAACAUGUGUACUAAGUUUCAAGUUGAUUGGACUUCAACUUCAUCAAAAACUACCUUGACCAAAAACUUUAACCUGAAGCAAACGGACGCACGGACAGACGGAUAGACGAACGAACAGAAGCACAGACCAGAAAACAUAAUGCCCCUCUACUAUUGUAGGUGGGGCAUAAAAAAGUAUGAUAAAUCUAUCAAAUAACAUCCUUAGUUGUCCAUAACACAUUAGACUGUCUGAUAUCAGUAUUCAUAUUCUUUAAUUUUGUUCCUUUAAAUGCUAAAAUGUGAAAUCUUACCUCAUGUUUAGAGAUAGUCAUCAAUAUUUUCUUUACAUAUGAGCUAAGCCUUACCCAAUAUUUAAUAAUUUUAUAUCAAUGAGACUGAUUAGGUCUGACCAAUAUUACAAACAAGCAUUAUUUACCAGAAAAUUUUAAAAUCACUGCUGCAAAACAUUAUAAAUUCUCCUGCAUAAUAUCUCUACUUAAAAUCUUCUUUAAUUUGCAGUAUUUAAAAAAAGAAUAUCGGUAAAAAUUAGCAGGUUUCUAUAAAAAAUUUGAUACAUAAUCCUAAAUGUAUUUUUUUAU
Molecule: long non-coding RNA, 1271 nt
Filed under: Mytilus galloprovincialis (Mediterranean mussel)
Lineage: Eukaryota; Metazoa; Mollusca; Bivalvia; Mytilida; Mytilidae
Source: RNAcentral